GGCUCAGGACGAACGCUGGCGGCGCGCCUGACACAUGCAAGUCGAACGGAGCUGUUUUCUCUGAAGUUUUCGGAUGGAAGAGAGUUCAGCUUAGUGGCGAACGGGUGAGUAACACGUGAGCAACCUGCCUUUCAGUGGGGGACAACAUUUGGAAACGAAUGCUAAUACCGCAUAAGACCACAGUGUCGCAUGGCACAGGGGUCAAAGGAUUUAUCCGCUGAAAGAUGGGCUCGCGUCCGAUUAGCUAGAUGGUGAGGUAACGGCCCACCAUGGCGACGAUCGGUAGCCGGACUGAGAGGUUGAACGGCCACAUUGGGACUGAGACACGGCCCAGACUCCUACGGGAGGCAGCAGUGGGGAAUAUUGCACAAUGGGGGAAACCCUGAUGCAGCGACGCCGCGUGGAGGAAGAAGGUCUUCGGAUUGUAAACUCCUGUCCCAGGGGACGAUAAUGACGGUACCCUGGGAGGAAGCACCGGCUAACUACGUGCCAGCAGCCGCGGUAAAACGUAGGGUGCAAGCGUUGUCCGGAAUUACUGGGUGUAAAGGGAGCGCAGGCGGAUUGGCAAGUUGGGAGUGAAAUCUAUGGGCUCAACCCAUAAAUUGCUUUCAAAACUGUCAGUCUUGAGUGGUGUAGAGGUAGGCGGAAUUCCCGGUGUAGCGGUGGAAUGCGUAGAUAUCGGGAGGAACACCAGUGGCGAAGGCGGCCUACUGGGCACUAACUGACGCUGAGGCUCGAAAGCAUGGGUAGCAAACAGGAUUAGAUACCCUGGUAGUCCAUGCCGUAAACGAUGAUUACUAGGUGUGGGAGGAUUGACCCCUUCCGUGCCGCAGUUAACACAAUAAGUAAUCCACCUGGGGAGUACGACCGCAAGGUUGAAACUCAAAGGAAUUGACGGGGGCCCGCACAAGCAGUGGAGUAUGUGGUUUAAUUCGAAGCAACGCGAAGAACCUUACCAGGUCUUGACAUCGGAUGCAUACCUAAGAGAUUAGGGAAGUCCUUCGGGACAUCCAGACAGGUGGUGCAUGGUUGUCGUCAGCUCGUGUCGUGAGAUGUUGGGUUAAGUCCCGCAACGAGCGCAACCCUUAUCUUUAGUAGCCAGCGGCCAGGCCGGGCACUCUAGAGAGACUGCCGGGGAUAACCCGGAGGAAGGUGGGGAUGACGUCAAAUCAUCAUGCCCCUUAUGAGCAGGGCUACACACGUGCUACAAUGGCGUAAACAAAGGGAAGCGAGACCGCGAGGUGGAGCAAAUCCCAAAAAUAACGUCUCAGUUCGGAUUGUAGUCUGCAACUCGACUACAUGAAGCUGGAAUCGCUAGUAAUCGCAGGUCAGCAUACUGCGGUGAAUACGUUCCCGGGUCUUGUACACACCGCCCGUCACACCAUGGGAGUCAGUAACACCCGAAGCCGGUGACCUAACCGAAAGGAAGGAGCCGUCGAAGGUGGGAC
RNAcentral lists this ribosomal RNA (1448 nucleotides) under uncultured organism. Its description in RNAcentral is "SSU rRNA". It matches the Rfam family "Bacterial small subunit ribosomal RNA". The record is from RNAcentral.